GACAGCAGCAGCCGCGGGAAUACGGAGGGAGCUAGCGUUGUUCGGAAUUACUGGGCGUAAAGCGCACGUAGGCGGCUUUGUAAGUUAGAGGUGAAAGCCUGGAGCUCAACUCCAGAACUGCCUUUAAGACUGCAUCGCUUGAAUCCAGGAGAGGUGAGUGGAAUUCCGAGUGUAGAGGUGAAAUUCGUAGAUAUUCGGAAGAAUACCAGUGGCGAAGGCGGCUCACUGGACUGGUAUUGACGCUGAGGUGCGAAAGCGUGGGGAGCAAACAGGAUUAGAGACCCCAGUAGUCCCUGUCUCUUAUAA
Molecule: ribosomal RNA, 306 nt
Filed under: uncultured bacterium
Lineage: Bacteria
Description: partial 16S ribosomal RNA
Rfam family: Bacterial small subunit ribosomal RNA
Source: RNAcentral